GAUGAACGCUGGCGGCGUGCCUAAUACAUGCAAGUCGAGCGAACAGACGAGGAGCUUGCUCCUCUGACGUUAGCGGCGGACGGGUGAGUAACACGUGGAUAACCUACCUAUAAGACUGGGAUAACUUCGGGAAACCGGAGCUAAUACCGGAUAAUAUAUUGAACCGCAUGGUUCAAUAGUAAAAGACGGUUUUGCUGUCACUUAUAGAUGGAUCCGCGCCGCAUUAGCUAGUUGGUAAGGUAACGGCUUACCAAGGCAACGAUGCGUAGCCGACCUGAGAGGGUGAUCGGCCACACGGGAACUGAGACACGGUCCAGACUCCUACGGGAGGCAGCAGUAGGGAAUCUUCCGCAAUGGGCGAAAGCCUGACGGAGCAACGCCGCGUGAGUGAUGAAGGUCUUCGGAUCGUAAAACUCUGUUAUUAGGGAAGAACAAAUGUGUAAGUAACUAUGCACGUCUUGACGGUACCUAAUCAGAAAGCCACGGCUAACUACGUG
Molecule: ribosomal RNA, 497 nt
Filed under: uncultured bacterium
Lineage: Bacteria
Description: partial 16S ribosomal RNA
Rfam family: Bacterial small subunit ribosomal RNA
Source: RNAcentral